CUAGCUGGUGACUACCAGUGGUGGGAUGGACUCAGGCCUACCCUGGGCCCGAGUUCCCAGCAGGUCAGUGAGGUGGAUCUCCAGCUAAUGAUUUUUCUACACAUAAUAUUCGACAGCCACAGACCCCAUGAAGUAAUAAUAUGAAAUGUUAUUUACUGGUCACUUACUAUGUGCAUGAUUAUUAUUGCAGAUCCCUGCCUUCCUCACAGUCUCCUCCAGGCCUCAAACCCAACCAGCAUUCCCUUGCCACCACUGGUUCUUACAGUAAAUAUGAUCACUGUCCUCAAUUCACAUGAUUAAACAAAGGCAUGAAGAGAUUCAGUGACUUGUCCAUGCGACACACAAUGGAGUUGACCUUGGAGCUGCCCAGCUUGUUUACUGCCAGCCCCACUAACUACUGUGACCACGGUCAAUUCUUCCACGCAAGUCAAACUGGUAGCACACAGUUGUUCAAGUUUUUGAGCCAACUAUAUGUCGGCACAUCUCAAUCAGAGUGUCCCAGACCACACCAAGCACUAACAAGGAGGGUCAAUCACCUUCAGAAUGUUGAUCCACACCAGUUGGGACACAGAGACGUCCCUGGAGUCAGCUCUAGUUCAUUGUCCCCAGGAACUCCUCUCCAUUCCGGAUGGUGGGAAAGCAUCUCUGUGACUGCAGGGAUCCUUUUGAAAGUCCCGCAAGAGACCAAGAAGCUCUGAAGGCUUAUAAAGCAAACAGACAGGAGGAGAAACAGGAAGGAAGGUGCCUAAACCAGAGGAGAAAGGUGAUUCACAAGGCCACCAGCGAAGGGCCCCAGGAACGAAGCUGGCUUUUAAUUUUUGUUGUUCUGUUUUACCAGAUGAUUCUUUUGAGUCAGUGCUUGGCUAUAAAUAUAGGUUAAUUUCCAAUUCCUCCCCCAAGCACUGGACAGAUUUUGCCCACAUCUUUUGUGUGUUGGAGAGGAAGGACAUUCACCGUGCAUGGACUGUGUGAAAUUGUCAGCCGGGGGUGUUGGACUCGUCUACUUAGAUCAUCUUGCAGAAUCCACUGAGGUCAGGCGCAUUUUCCCAAAGCCUCCCCUUGCCCUCUGAUCUCCUGCUGAGGACACCCAGCAAACUAGAAGUCAGAGGGGCACAGACAAUACGAGUUUACAGGGCAGCCUCCCUGGGCACCGAGGGGUGUCAGGGUAGGAGAGCAUCUGGAGGGGCAGAUGGAGAUGCCCACAGUGUCCGGGCUGGUCUUUGAGGGUGUGAUCUAGGGGACCUGAGGACCUUAACCUGGUUUGAACUUGGCUGAUGGAACCUGCAGAAGGAGACUAGGGAUUGUUAACUAGCCCAGGUCCACUCGUCCUUAGGAUCUUGAUCUCCAAGGCUGGAAAUCUACACUUGCUGGUGGGAGGCCCACUGACAGGAGCCAGGAGACCUGGGGCCCAGGGCAUAUCUGCUAUGUGGAGCGUGUCUGUGGGCAGGUCCCCUUUCUGGGCCUGGCUCCUCAUUCAUGAAGUCAGUGGGUUGACCUGUUCUAGUAACUUUGGUCCCCCCAGUGCACCCGCCUGCCUGACCAACCUCUAGCGCUG
RNAcentral lists this long non-coding RNA (1555 nucleotides) under Marmota monax (woodchuck). Lineage: Eukaryota; Metazoa; Chordata; Mammalia; Rodentia; Sciuridae. The record is from RNAcentral.